CCGCUCGUAGCGAAGUUUGGAUAUCGCGUCAGAUUCCGAUUCUGAAGGUCGGGGGUUCGAGUCCCUUCGAGCGGACCA
Molecule: transfer RNA, 78 nt
Filed under: Candidatus Improbicoccus devescovinae
Lineage: Bacteria; Bacillati; Bacillota; Clostridia
Description: tRNA-Arg
Rfam family: tRNA
About the family: Transfer RNA (tRNA) molecules are approximately 80 nucleotides in length. Their secondary structure includes four short double-helical elements and three loops (D, anti-codon, and T loops). Further hydrogen bonds mediate the characteristic L-shaped molecular structure. tRNAs have two regions of fundamental functional importance: the anti-codon, which is responsible for specific mRNA codon recognition, and the 3' end, to which the tRNAs corresponding amino acid is attached (by aminoacyl-tRNA synthetases). tRNAs cope with the degeneracy of the genetic code in two manners: having more than one tRNA (with a specific anti-codon) for a particular amino acid; and 'wobble' base-pairing, i.e. permitting non-standard base-pairing at the 3rd anti-codon position.
Source: RNAcentral